AUUGAACGCUGGCGGCAGGCCUAACACAUGCAAGUCGAACGGUAACAGGAAGAAGCUUGCUUCUUUGCUGACGAGUGGCGGACGGGUGAGUAAUGUCUGGGAAACUGCCUGAUGGAGGGGGAUAACUACUGGAAACGGUAGCUAAUACCGCAUAACGUCGCAAGACCAAAAAGGGGGACCUUCGGGCCUCUUGCCAUCGGAUGCGCCCAGAUGGGAUUAGCUAGUAGGUGGGGUAACGGCUCACCUAGGCGACGAUCCCUAGCUGGUCUGAGAGGAUGACCAGCCACACUGGAACUGAGACACGGUCCAGACUCCUACGGGAGGCAGCAGUGGGGAAUAUUGCACAAUGGGCGCAAGCCUGAUGCAGCCAUGCCGCGUGUAUGAAGAAGGCCUUCGGGUUGUAAAGUACUUUCAGCGGGGAGGAAGGGAGUAAAGUUAAUACCUUUGCUCAUUGACGUUACCCGCAGAAGAAGCACCGGCUAACUCCGUG
RNAcentral lists this ribosomal RNA (490 nucleotides) under uncultured bacterium. Its description in RNAcentral is "partial 16S ribosomal RNA". It matches the Rfam family "Bacterial small subunit ribosomal RNA", at positions 30 to 507 of the family's 1533-position model. The record is from RNAcentral.